AUACGUAGGGGGCAAGCGUUGUCCGGAUUUACUGGGUAUAAAGGGAGCGCAGGCGGAUUCGUAAGUCAGGGGUGAAAUCCUACAGCUUAACUGUAGAACUGCCUUUGAUACUGCGAGUCUUGAGAUCGGAAGAGAGAGAUGGAAUUCCAGGUGUAGUGGUGAAAUACGUAGAUAUCUGGAAGAACACCAAUGGCGAAGGCAGUCUCUUGGUCCGUAUCUGACGCUGAGGCUCGAAAGCGUGGGGAGCAAACAUGAUUAGAAACCCCAGUAGUCC
This 274-nucleotide ribosomal RNA is filed under the name uncultured bacterium. Its description in RNAcentral is "partial 16S ribosomal RNA". It matches the Rfam family "Bacterial small subunit ribosomal RNA", at positions 523 to 796 of the family's 1533-position model. The record is from RNAcentral.